This 497-nucleotide ribosomal RNA is filed under the name uncultured bacterium. RNAcentral describes it as "partial 16S ribosomal RNA". It matches the Rfam family "Bacterial small subunit ribosomal RNA", at positions 28 to 507 of the family's 1533-position model. The record is from RNAcentral.
GAUGAACGCUGGCGGCGUGCCUAAUACAUGCAAGUCGAGCGAACAGACGAGGAGCUUGCUCCUCUGACGUUAGCGGCGGACGGGUGAGUAACACGUGGUUAACCUACCUAUAAGACUGGGAUAACUUCGGGAAACCGGAGCUAAUACCGGAUAAUAUAUUGAACCGCAUGGUUCAAUAGUGAAAGACGGUUUUGCUGUCACUUAUAGAUGGAUCCGCGCCGCAUUAGCUAGUUGGUAAGGUAACGGCUUACCAAGGCGACGAUGCGUAGCCGACCUGAGAGGGUGAUCGGCCACACUGGAACUGAGCCACGGUCCAGACUCCUACGGGCGGCAGCAGUAGGGAAUCUUCCGCAAUGGGCGAGAGCCUGACGGAGCAACGCCGCGUGAGUGAUGAAGGUCUUCGGGUCGUAAAACUCUGUUAUUAGGGAAGAACAAAUGUGUAAGUAACUAUGCACGUCUUGACGGUACCAAAUCAGAAAGCCACGGCUAACUACGUG